GACGAACGCUGGCGGCGUGGAUUAGGCAUGCAAGUCGAACGGUAUCAUCCUUUCGGGGGUGAGAGAGUGGCGAACUGGUGAGUAACACGUAGGUUAUCUACCCUCAAGACGGGGACAACCCAGGGAAACUUGGGCUAAUACCGGAUGUGAGCAACUUUUAGUGUUUGAAAGGUGGCGUAAGCUGUCGCUUGGGGAUGAGCCUGCGUCCUAUUAGUUAGUUGGUGAGGUAACGGCUCACCUAGGCAAUGAUAGGUAGGCGGCCUUAACGGGUGGUCGCCCACACUGGGAUUGAGAUACGGCCCAGACUCCUACGGGAGGCAGCAGUCGAGAAUAGUCUACAAUGGUCGGAAGACUGAUAGUGCGACGCCGCGUGAACGAUGAAUCCCUUCGGGGUGUAAAGUUCUUUUAUAUGUGAGCAGUGCUUCUUAUAUUAACAGUAUGGGGAGAGAGAUAUUAGCAUAUGAAUAAGCAAGGCUAACUCCGUGCCAGCAGCCGCGGU
This 499-nucleotide ribosomal RNA is filed under the name uncultured bacterium. Its description in RNAcentral is "bacterial SSU rRNA". It matches the Rfam family "Bacterial small subunit ribosomal RNA", at positions 28 to 521 of the family's 1533-position model. The record is from RNAcentral.